UGAAUACGAGAUGCUACGGCGUCGAAGCAGUCUAUGUCAUACUUCCAAGAAAAGCUUGCACUGUCAUAAACAAAUAAUGCCUGUACCAUAACCGACACAGGUGGGUAGGUAGAGUAUACUAAGGGGCGCGAGAUAACUCUCUCUAAGGAACUCGGCAAAAUGACUCCGUAACUUCGGGAGAAGGAGUGCCUUAUUUAUAAGGUUGCAAUAACAAGACCCAAGCAACUGUUUAUCAAAAACACAGGUCUCCGCUAAGUCGUAAGACGAUGUAUGGGGGCUGACGCCUGCCCAGUGCCAGAAGGUUAAAGAAGUUGGUUAGCAUUAGCGAAGCUGAUGACUGAAGCCCUGGUGAACGGCGGCCGUAACAAUAACGGUCCUAAGGUAGCGAAAUUCCUUGUCGGGUAAGUUCCGACCCGCACGAAAGGCGUAAUGAUUUGGGUACUGUCUCAGAGAGGGACUCGGUGAAAUAGACUUGUCUGUGAAGAUGCGGACUACCUGCACCUGGACAGAAAGACCCUAUGAAGCUUUACUGUAACCUGAAAUUGAAAUUGGACUUUAUUUGCGCAGUAUAGGUGGGAGGCUUUGAAGAUAUUCUUGCGGGAAUGUUGGAGCCAUCAGUGAGAUACCACUCUUGUAAUGUUAGAUUUCUAACUUUGUAUCAUUAUCUGGUCAAAGAACAGUUUCAGGCGGGCAGUUUGACUGGGGCGGUCGCCUCCUAAACGGUAACGGAGGCGCACAAAGGUUUCCUCUGAACGGGUAGAAAUCGUAUCUAGAGUGUAAAGGCAUAAGGAAGCUUGACUGUGAGACCUACAAGUCGAGCAGGGACGAAAGUCGGUCUUAGUGAUCUGACGGUGCUGAGUGGAAAGGCCGUCACUCAACGGAUAAAAGUUACUCUAAGGAUAACAGGCUGAUCUCCCCCAAGAGUUCACAUCGACGGGGAGGUUUGGCACCUCGAUGUCGGCUCAUCGCAUCCUGGGGCGGUAGUACGUCCCAAGGGUUGGGCUGUUCGCCCAUGAAAGCGGUACGCGAGCUGGGUUCAGAACGUCGUGAGACAGUUCGGUCCAUAUCCGGUGUAGGCGCUAGAAUAUUGAGAGGAGCCUUCUCUAGUACGAGAGGACCGAGAAGGACAUACCUCUGGUGUACCAGUUAUCGUGCCAACGGUAAACGCUGGGUAGCUAUGUGUGGAGCGGAUAACCGCUGAAAGCAUCUAAGUGGGAAGCCCACCUCAAGAUAAG
This 1235-nucleotide ribosomal RNA is filed under the name metagenome. RNAcentral describes it as "bacterial LSU rRNA". It matches the Rfam family "Bacterial large subunit ribosomal RNA", at positions 1564 to 2808 of the family's 2925-position model. The record is from RNAcentral.